Perognathus longimembris pacificus (Pacific pocket mouse) is the source of this 134-nucleotide long non-coding RNA. RefSeq lists it as uncharacterized. The record is from RefSeq and is a predicted model, not a curated record. The transcript is spliced from 3 exons. NCBI's taxonomy places the organism in Eukaryota, Metazoa, Chordata, Mammalia, Rodentia, Heteromyidae.
UGGGAAUGUGGCCUACUGGUAGAGUGUUUGUUUGCCUCAAAUACAGGAAGCCCUGGGUUCAAUUCCUCAGUACCAUAUAAACAGAAAAAGCUGGAAGUGGCGCUGUGGCUCAAGUGGUAGAGUGCUAUCCUUGA